UACGUAGGUGGCAAGCGUUAUCCGGAAUUAUUGGGCGUAAAGAGCUCGUAGGCGGCCUGUCGCGUCUGCUGUGAAAACUGGAGGCUCAACUUCCAGCGUGCAGUGGGUACGGGCAGGCUAGAGUGCGGUAGGGGAGAUUGGAAUUCCUGGUGUAGCGGUGGAAUGCGCAGAUAUCAGGAGGAACACCGAUGGCGAAGGCAGAUCUCUGGGCCGUAACCGACGCUGAGGAGCGAAAGAGUGGGGAGCGAACAGG
Molecule: unclassified non-coding RNA, 253 nt
Filed under: uncultured Microbacteriaceae bacterium
Lineage: Bacteria; Bacillati; Actinomycetota; Actinomycetes; Micrococcales; Microbacteriaceae
Description: contains 16S-23S intergenic spacer region
Rfam family: Bacterial small subunit ribosomal RNA
Source: RNAcentral